This 254-nucleotide ribosomal RNA is filed under the name uncultured bacterium. Its description in RNAcentral is "partial 16S ribosomal RNA". It matches the Rfam family "Bacterial small subunit ribosomal RNA", at positions 524 to 776 of the family's 1533-position model. The record is from RNAcentral.
UACGGGGGGAGCAAGCGUUGUUCGGAUUUACUGGGCGUAAAGGGCGCGUAGGCGGUCAGCACAAGUCAGUUGUGAAAUCUCCGGGCUUAACUCGGAAAGGUCAACUGAUACUGUGCGACUAGAGUGCGGAAGGGGCAACUGGAAUUCUUGGUGUAGCGGUGAAAUGCGUAGAUAUCUGGAGGAACACCGGUGGCGAAGGCGGCAUCCUGGACCAACACUGACGCUGAGGAGCGAAAGCCAGGGGAGCAAACGGG